Molecule: unclassified non-coding RNA, 345 nt
Filed under: soil metagenome
Description: partial contains 5.8S ribosomal RNA, internal transcribed spacer 2, and large subunit ribosomal RNA
Rfam family: 5.8S ribosomal RNA (bases 1-121)
Source: RNAcentral
GAUGAAGAACGUAGCGAAAUGCGAUAAGUAAUGCGAAUUGCAGAAUUUCCGUGAGUCAUCGAAUCUUUGAACGGACAUUGCGCCCACUGGUAUUCCGGUGGGCAUGCCUGUUCGAGCGUCAUUAUCCUCCCUCAAACCCCGGGUUUGGUGUUGGACCGAAGUUGUGUGAACAACUGGUCUAAAAAACAAUGACGGCGUCCGUGGGACCCUCGGUGCAACGAGCUUUUAGGAGCACGCGCCGAGUUGCAAGGACCUUCCGGGCCGGUCUCCUUUUACUAUUUUACAAGGUUGACCUCGGAUCAGGUAGGAAUACCCGCUGAACUUAAGCAUAUCAAUAAGCGGAGA